This 1004-nucleotide unclassified non-coding RNA is filed under the name Hevea brasiliensis (rubber tree). Lineage: Eukaryota; Viridiplantae; Streptophyta; Magnoliopsida; Malpighiales; Euphorbiaceae. The record is from RNAcentral.
CUUUUUUUUUUUUUUUUUUCCUCCCCCUACAUAUGAGGGACCCAUAAACUAUGACAUAUCCAUGUAUACUUGCCUUCUUCUGAUGGAAACCAUGGAUGUGGCAUUUGUAUGGUCUGACAAUUGAACUUGUUAAUGUGAUUGCGUUUUAAUGGUUUGUUCACUAGAUUUUUGGUUUGGUUAUUCGUCCAAUUGUCCUUACUGUUAAUGUGCAUAUCUAUUAGUGUUCACUUACUACAUAUUGUUCUGGUUUUCUUGUCUUUAUGAUUCUCUUCCUUAGAUAUUGUUAGUGGGUGAAUCUCUUACCUCGGAGAUUUUAAAUUCCUUCUUGGAUUGCAGGGAAAAGAUGAAGCAAAACCUAAAGAAAUAUUAAGCAAAGUACAGAGUGUGUAGCAUAUGGUAAGGCUGGUAAUAUGACAUUUCUUAUCAGUUUCCUGUUCUACCAUAUGCUUAUUAUUCGAUUUUGACCAACAGAUUGCUGGUAUGCAGUUUUCAAAUUGCGCGAAAAUGCAUGUUGAAUCACCCUUAUAUUACCAUAUCUACAGACCUAAUAUAUGGAAUAUCAAAAGUACCUCUGGAUUGUUAAAGGGAACGGUCGUUUGGAUUUCUAGAGAUCGGCUUGCUUGCAAUUUGCUGCUACUUAUUGCAGCUGUUAAACAAGUUUGGCUGUGGUGUAUUAGGCUGUAAGUUACGUGAUCUCUUUAUAUGUCAAAAUUUUUUGUUCAUGGACUUGAUGAGUUGCAAUCAAAUUUGAGUAAUCCAAGUUGUUGAGAUGUAUUCAACAUCUGUACUUGCACACCUGACUAAAACAUUUACCAGCAGCAAUUAUGUUGCGGCCAAGCUUGGGAUUAUGUUUCAAAAUUCGAACACGUAAUGGGUAUUAUUUUUUAAAUUAAAACUUAUUUCAAAUUCGAUUAUAUAUUAUCUAUAUCUAUAAAUACCUGAUCUAUUGUCAUCCUUAAUUUAAAUAAAGCCUUAGCAACAUAAAAAAUCGAAAUAGAAAUGGU